UACGUAGGGGGCAAGCGUUAUCCGGAUUUACUGGGCGUAAAGUGUGCGUAGGCGCCCCAUUAAGUCGUACUUUAAAUACUAAGGCUUACCCUUAGAACUGAGUACGAUACUGUUGGGGUUGAGGAUUGAUAGGGAAGCUGGAACAGUACGUGUAGCAGUGAAAUGCGUUGAUAUGUACUGGAACACCAAGGGCGAAGGCAGGCUUCUAGAUUUUUCCUGACGCUGAGGCACGAAAGCUAGGGUAGCGAAACAG
Molecule: ribosomal RNA, 253 nt
Filed under: uncultured bacterium
Lineage: Bacteria
Description: partial 16S ribosomal RNA
Rfam family: Bacterial small subunit ribosomal RNA
Source: RNAcentral